UACGAAGGUCCCAAGCGUUAUCCGGAUUUAUUGGGCUUAAAGGGUGCGUAGGCGGGCUAUUAAGUCAGUGGUGAAAUCUCCAUGCCUAACAUGGAAACUGCCAUUGAUACUGAUGGUCUUGAGUACAUUUGAAGUGGGCGGAAUGUGUCAUGUAGUGGUGAAAUACUUAGAUAUGACACAGAACACCGAUUGCGAAGGCAGCUCACUAAGCUGUAACUGACGCUGAGGCACGAAAGCGUGGGGAGCAAACAGG
Molecule: ribosomal RNA, 253 nt
Filed under: uncultured bacterium
Lineage: Bacteria
Description: partial 16S ribosomal RNA
Rfam family: Bacterial small subunit ribosomal RNA
Source: RNAcentral